GUAGUCCACGCCGUAAACGAUGAAUACUAGGUGUAGGGGUUGUCAUGACCUCUGUGCCGCCGCUAACGCAUUAAGUAUUCCGCCUGGGGAGUACGGUCGCAAGAUUAAAACUCAAAGGAAUUGACGGGGGCCCGCACAAGCAGCGGAGCAUGUGGUUUAAUUCGAAGCAACGCGAAGAACCUUACCUAGACUUGACAUCUCCUGCAUUACCCUUAAUCGGGGAAGUUCCUUUGGGAACAGGAAGACAGGUGGUGCAUGGUUGUCGUCAGCUCGUGUCGUGAGAUGUUGGGUUAAGUCCCGCAACGAGCGCAACCCUUAUUGUUAGUUGCUACCAUUUAGUUGAGCACUCUAGCGAGACUGCCCGGGUUUAACCGGGAGGAAGGUGGGGAUGACGUCAAAUCAUCAUGCCCCUUAUGUCUAGGGGCUACACACGUGCUACAAUGGCAAGUACAAAGAGAAGCAAUACCGCGAGGUGGAGCAAAACUCAAAAACUUGUCUCAGUUCGGAUUGUAGGCUGAAACUCGCCUACAUGAAGCUGGAGUUGCUAGUAAUCGCGAAUCAGAAUGUCGCGGUGAAUACGUUCCCGGGGCCUUGUACGCACCGCCCGUCACAACCAUGAGAGUUGGCAAUACCCAACGUACGUGAUCUAACCCGCAAGGGAGGAAGCGUCCUUAAAGGUCAGGGCGUCAGNGUUGGGGCUAAGUCGUAACAAGGUA
RNAcentral lists this ribosomal RNA (716 nucleotides) under uncultured bacterium. Its description in RNAcentral is "bacterial SSU rRNA". It matches the Rfam family "Bacterial small subunit ribosomal RNA", at positions 790 to 1498 of the family's 1533-position model. The record is from RNAcentral.